This is a long non-coding RNA of Gorilla gorilla gorilla (western lowland gorilla), 182 nucleotides long. RefSeq lists it as uncharacterized. The record is from RefSeq and is a predicted model, not a curated record. The transcript is spliced from 3 exons. NCBI's taxonomy places the organism in Eukaryota, Metazoa, Chordata, Mammalia, Primates, Hominidae.
AGGCAUUUGGGAAACAUCAGAUGCAGGGAAGGCUCUCUAAUCUAUUCUUUUCUACCUAAGAAGAGGCCAUAAAAUGUCUCAUGAGAAAGAUGAAAUUCAUGAAUCCAAGGCCUUAUUUCUUGAAGAUGAAGUCCCCAGGUUUUCAAGCAUGUGGAGGCUACCUGGAAGUAUACUGAGGAAAG